CCCGCUGAACUUAAGCAUAUCAAUAAGCGGAGGAAAAGAAACCAACAGGGAUUGCCUUAGUAACGGCGAGUGAAGCGGCAAAAGCUCAAAUUUGAAAUCGGCCUCCAGGUCGAGUUGUAAUUUGUAGAUUGUAUUUU
This 137-nucleotide ribosomal RNA is filed under the name Geotrichum candidum. Its description in RNAcentral is "partial 28S ribosomal RNA". It matches the Rfam family "Eukaryotic large subunit ribosomal RNA", at positions 24 to 165 of the family's 3401-position model. The record is from RNAcentral. Lineage: Eukaryota; Fungi; Ascomycota; Dipodascomycetes; Dipodascales; Dipodascaceae.